Molecule: ribosomal RNA, 484 nt
Filed under: uncultured bacterium
Lineage: Bacteria
Description: partial 16S ribosomal RNA
Rfam family: Bacterial small subunit ribosomal RNA
Source: RNAcentral
GACGAACGCUGGCGGCGUGCUUAACACAUGCAAGUCGAACGAUGAAGCCGGAGCUUGCUCUGGUGAAUUAGUGGCGAACGGGUGAGUAACACGUGAGUAACCUGCCCUUGACUCUGGGAUAACUGCGGGAAACUGUAGCUAAUACCGGAUACGACCCUCGGAGGCAUCUCCUGGGGGUGGAAAGAAUUUCGGUCAAGGAUGGACUCGCGGCCUAUCAGCUAGUUGGCGAGGUAAAGGCUCACCAAGGCGACGACGGGUAGCCGGCCUGAGAGGGUUAGCUGCUACACUGGGGCUGAGACACGGCCCAGACUCCUACGGGAGGCAGCAGUGUGGAAUAUUGCACAAUGGGCGCAAGCCUAAUGCAGCGACGCCGCGUGAGGGAUGACGGCCUUCGGGUUGUAAACCUCUUUUAGCAGGGAAGAAGCGAAAGUGACGGUACCUGCAGAAAAAGCACCGGCUAACUACGUGCCAGCCGCCGCGGUAA